Molecule: small nuclear RNA, 108 nt
Organism: Cynocephalus volans (Philippine flying lemur)
Lineage: Eukaryota; Metazoa; Chordata; Mammalia; Dermoptera; Cynocephalidae
Source: RefSeq, a predicted model, not a curated record
GUACUCACUUUGGCAGCACAUAUACUAAAAACUAGAACAAUACAGAGAAGGUAAGCAUGGGGCCUGUGCAAGGAUGACAUGCAAAUUCACGAAGUGUUCCAUACUUAA